This is a small nucleolar RNA of Cervus hanglu yarkandensis (Yarkand deer), 71 nucleotides long. Its record names the gene SNORD63. It matches the Rfam family "Small nucleolar RNA SNORD63". From Rfam's summary of the family: snoRNA U63 is found in both humans and mice. U63 is a member of the C/D class of snoRNA which contain C (UGAUGA) and D (CUGA) box motifs. NCBI's taxonomy places the organism in Eukaryota, Metazoa, Chordata, Mammalia, Artiodactyla, Cervidae. The record is from Ensembl.
GUGCAAUGAUGCAUUCUGUCAACACAUCAUUCUGAUAAGACAGGUGUGUGGAAAACUAAUGACUGAGCACA